ACUGGGGCUCUGCUGCGGGUGCCUCGGGACGGAAGAAUGCCUGGCUCUGGGCUGGAGGGCCAGGGUUCGUCCUUGGACGGUUGCCAGCAAGGGUCCCUCAACCAGCCAGACAAAGGAUCUCUGCAGGAGCCAGGCCACACAGACCCCACCUGCUUAAAAUUAACCUGGAUGAAUGAGAGUCCUAGAAGGAGCAACCUGGCUGCAGCAGCUGGUUUGGCUGUGAAGGAACAGGGCAGGACAUGACGGCUGGUCACCAUGAUACACACGCUCAGCUCACGUUUUACCUGCUCUCACUGGGCUGCCUGCGACUAAGCAGAACCAAGAGAACGCCAGCCUCUUUCCAACAACAAAGCACGGAUGAUAUAAAGAGUCCAUAGGCUUCCCAAAGACAAUUUGCUUAUCUUUUGUCAGAACCACAGGUAAUUCUGUACCUGGGAGGGAUGAAGGCAGGGGGACAAAUACAGGAUGCAGGGGGUGAAGGACAAAAUUCCCCACUAAAAAAACGGGGAAUGAAGCCUACUGAGAAAAAGCCGAGGGACAGUGACAGCUGGGAUGGGGGGAACAUCCUGAACUACAUCAGCAUUGGCACAUUUCUUAAGAAAAAUCCACUUAGAAACAUGCCGUAUCCCUCAAGUCCACACUGACACAGCCGGCGACAGAGCGAAGCUGGCACAUGCAGGGCUGCAGCGGCUCUGAGCCUGCAGCAGCCCCACUGCCCCAGAGCCGCGGUGCCCGGGGUUCAGGGUGCCAGAGAAGGAGGUCUCGGAGUAGCUCCCCCAGCCCCUCAAUUCCCCAGGCAGGUCCCGUUCUGGGGCAGCGAGGUCUCUGGAGGAAAGCAAGGGGACACUGAUUCACAAGAGGAGACGCAGCUUCGGGGACGCGUGCUCCUGCAGUCUCUUCCCCGGCCUGGUCCAGGCUCUGUGGGGUGCAGGCGGAGGUCUCCCCCGGGAUACGCUGGGAAUGGGGCUGCCUCCUUCCCAGGCAUGGCUAUGGACAUCAGCGGGACAGUGUAGCAAGUCUUGGAUUA
This 1027-nucleotide long non-coding RNA is filed under the name Bos grunniens (domestic yak). RNAcentral's name for it is "lncRNA (ENSBGRG00000020892.1)". Lineage: Eukaryota; Metazoa; Chordata; Mammalia; Artiodactyla; Bovidae. The record is from RNAcentral.